UGUUUCCAUGGAGAAGGAGGCAAUGGGUAGGGCUAGGAGUCAGAGCUUGAUUGCUGGGCUCUUGACGGUAGCAAGGACCUGCAGGAAGGUGGCAUAGGCUACUCCUUGUUGCAGGGCCCUGGGAAGUGGUAAUGAGCCUUAGAAAGAUUUAGGAGGUGCCCAGACUAUUUGGCAGUGGCAGCAGCAGGGUGUAUGAGUUCCCAGGGCAGUGAGAGCAAUAGCAAGAGGUGUUCGAUUGCACUGCUAUCCUCUAAUGUUAUUCAGGUACCCCUAGUGGUAUCUGGCCGCAGCCACCUCUGGAAUCAGUCAUAACUAUGGUGGUUUGCCCUUGCCACCUGCAGACCAUGGAGGAAGCACACUGUCUCACUUAGCCAACACAGGAUGUGCUGCAUAGGCUGUCUUAGUUGCAGGAUCCUGGGAAGUGGCAGAGAUGAAGUAUGUGGGCACUGCCCAGAGCAUUCUGCAGCGGCACCAACAGGGCCAGUGUGCUCCCAGGGGUGCAGGAGCAACAACAAGUGGUGUUUGGUCACAAUGACCUCCUCUGUGGUACCCUUGAGGUGACUGGGGCUGCAGGUGGUUCCUGUUCACAGACCCCUAGUGGUGGCCGGCCAUGCCCACCUCUGUAGUCAGAGAUAACUGCUGGUGGUUUGUCCUCACCACCUGUAGACCAUGCAAGAAGCACCUCAUCCUGCUUAGCCCCCAUAACAGGUUCUGCACCAGCUGCUCCUAGUUGUAGGUUCUUGGGAAGGGACAGUGAUCAAGUGUCUGGGCACUGCCCAGAGCAUUUUGCUGUGGCAGCAGCAGAGCGGAUGUACUCCCAGGGGAGUGAGAGCAACAGUAGUUUGUGUUCUGACACAAUGUCCUCCUUUAUGGUGCCCACUGAGGUGGUUGGGGCUGCAAGUGUUUCUUGUUCAGGGAUCCCACAUGUCAGUGGGCCAUGCCCACUUCUAUUGUCAGAGAUAACUGUGGUGGUUUCCUCCCAUCCCCUGCAGACCAUGCAGGAAGCACCCUGUCCCACUUAGCCCACGUAGGAGGUGCUACACCUGCUGCUCCUAGUUGUAGUGUCUUGGAAAGGGACAGUGAUGAAUCAUCUGGGCACUGCCCAGUGGCAGCUGCAGGGCAGGUAUGUUCCCAGGGGGUGAGAGCAAUAACGUGCAGUUUGCAGUGCCCUUUUUUUUUUCCCACCCCUGAGGUGUUUGGGGCCAUGGUGGAGCCCACUCACAGGCUCCCAGUGGUGGCAGGCCAUGCCUCACUCUGGCCUCUGAGAUAACUGCCAUGCUCAAUCCCUGCCGCCUGUAGAUCAUGCAAGAAGCACCACACUGCACUUAGCCCCUGCUGCCCUUAGCCCAUGCAAGAGUUUCCUGGCCACCUAUAACCUGCACAAGAAGCACCUGGUCUCCCAUAGCCAGAACAAGUGGCUUCUCACCAUCAGUAGCCUUCACCAGAGGUGCCCUACCCACCAAGAGCUUACACGCAUGUGCACAGGGAGAUUCCUAUGGUGCUCCACCCCUCCUCCUCUUGCCCUCUCCAACAAAUGGCACCUUGCUUCUCCUGUGGGCCCAGAUCUUCUCCCAUGUUCUCUCUGCCAUGGCAUUCCACUCCCCCGCCUGUGGCACCAUGCUCCUUAGCCCCUAAGGCUGUCCCCACACAGCCAACCCUAAGUUCAGCACCCAGCCCCCUCAGAGCAGUGGUACAGAUGAUCUGUGUGGCUCUCACUCUAUUUUGCCCUCCUCUGUCCAACUGCUGGCCUUUUCUCAGUGACUUUGAGGUCCCUCUCUCUUGGGCUGAUCUCCAGGAUGGUUAGGUGGCUUCCCAGGGUGUGGGUUCCUUUUCUCCUCACAGCUCCCUCUCAGGAAUGCUAGUCCUGUCCUGAUUGCCUUUCUCUCUCUCUCUUCUUUUUUUUUUUUUUUUUGUUCUACCCAGUUAUGUCAAGAGUUUCUUGCCCUUUUUGGAGGUUUAAGUUCUGCCAGCAUUCAAUAAAUAUUCUGUGCAAGUCAUUUUACAUGUAGAUGUGUUAUUUUUUGAUGUGUUUGUGGGAGAAGGUGAGUAUGGCAUCUUACUCCUCUGCUAUCUUGAUCCACCUCCAGUGAAGAACAUAAUUUUAAUGAACAUUAUUUACUUAAUAUUAGGAACAAAAUUUUAAGAAAAGUAUUUUUAGAAGAAGUUUUGGCCAGUAUCACUUUUCCUAGGUCAGUAAUCUGUAAGCAGUAAGGCAAGCUUGAAAAAAAAUGAUAAAAUUAGUUCAUCUGACCCCUUGAUUUUUGGCCCUCUGCUUGUUUUUACACUUCUCAUUGAAAACCAGAGUAGCAGCAAAAAGUUUCUAGGCUCUUCAGUACCAUAUCUGGAAAAAUAGCCUUUUCUGUUCUUAGAUAUAGUUAUUCUCUAGAUGCUGGUAACUUGAUGUGAUUUCCUCAGUGCAAAUGAACUGAUUUAUUUGAGCCCUCUCCUGAUGCUGACUGUUAAUUUUUGGUGGAGGCCAGACCCCGAAGUUGGUGGUGCGAUGGUAGUGGAGGGAAUGAAUUAUGACUGUGCUGAUUUCUUGGAGCUUUCUACAGCAUGUUGAAGGAUUACAUGAAGCCUUGUCAUCACAAAUAAGCUGGUUCAAAACAAAGACGUAAUAUUCAUUACAGACAUAAUGCAAGUAUUACAGCUAAUAUGGUAGUAUGAGGGAAGUUCUAGAAAGGAAAACUGUUUUCUGUUUGCAUGAAAGACAAUAGGAGUAAGUUACUUUGACAUGCAUUGUGUGUUCAUAUUUUCUCUGCUUUUUCUAUUUAUAUGCAUAAAAAAUUAAACCUUUGACUGGGUAGCAGUUGGCAAUGGUUCAUUUUUAUUCACCAUUGUCUACUAACUGGAUUAAAUAAUUACAAUUUCUCCUACCAUCUGAGACUUUCGCUGACAUUUGGCUGCCUCUGCCCUACUGCUCAUUUAUGUUUAAGUUUGUACCUGCUCAUUAACUCAUUUGUCCUAAAAAUAACUUUGAAAGGCUCAGAUCCUGAGCUGUUAGCAUUUAGCCUAUAUGGUUAAGGCAAUAAAAUCACAUCUGGCCAGAGCUCAAAAAGCUGACUCUGUUCUCAUUUUUAAGACUAAGAUGAAGAAAUGUAUAUUUGAGACUGAUUCUGAUUAGUUCUAAAAACUGUAAAAUACUAAAGGCUAUCAUGAAGGAUGUGCCUCAUCUUACUGCAGGGUUUGUUACUUCAUUUCCAAUCAUCAGAAUUCAGUUAUAGCAUUUCUCUUGGACAUGAAAACUACCAUCUCUUGUCUUUCCCACAAAACCUUAAGCCAAAACACUUAGCAAUAGUACUCUAUUUUGUGGUUAAAUAUUUCCAUGCAGAAUUUUUCAUUUUUUAGAAAUAAAAGUAUCAUCCUUAAUUAUCUGCACUUUGCAGUGCCAAAACUUAUUGUGUAACAUUUGCAUUUGAUCUUUGAGUGAAAUAUUCACAGGUUUGGCUAAACUAGUUCUUUAUUUUCAUAACAAAAGUCAUUCUGGGAAUAAUUCCAUGUAUGUAAAGAUUCUGGGAAAUAGUUCCUAUUUUCAGGGUUCGAUGUGAGGAUUUAUGGGUUAUUUAUUUUGUGGGGCUGAAGCAAAAAAAUUCUUUAAAAUAUUUUGAUGCAAAUGUAUUAUAUAUUUAAUGCAAUUAAUAAAGUGAAAAUAGGUUACUUAGUAAAAUCAAAAGUGGUAGGAGGGUGAAUAGAGGAAGUAGCAGUUAAAUAAAACCAACUUGAUACAAUAUUUCAGUAAGUCUUCAUCUGUUGAUUUGACACUUAGAGUUUACCUUGUACAAUUAUUUACUUUAAAAACAUAUCCUGUAUUCUAACCUACGUGAGAAUAGGCACCUUAAAAUGUGUCUCUUUUAUAUUGAUCACAAAACUUAGCAUAAUGAACUAGAUAAAAAAGCUUAUUCGUGGUAUUGAUGUAUAACACAAUUUUUAAUUCAGUAUUAUCUUAAAAGUUUACAAAACUCUCACUGUUUUGUCUCUUUUUAUCUUUCCCAAAAUUGCUUAUCAGAAAAAAAUGUAAAUGUACAAUGAAUUUUCUUCCUGAGUCGUGUUAAAUAAAAUCUUAAGCAGAGAACAUUAACUUUUUAUUUAUGAUUAUUACUAUUAUAAAAGUAAAAAAUAACAUAGAUAUUAUAGAAAGACAGUGAAGAGUGAAAUUUUACUCUUGUAAUCACCUUGUCCCAUUCUACUGACUAGUAAUAGUAGCCAUUAGUAAUAUUUUGUGUCUUUGAAGAAAGUUUUCAUACAUAAAUAUGCAUAUAUACUUGUAAUUAUUUUGACAAUAAAAUAAAAAUCUAUGCAUAUUUAGUACAUGUAAGGUACAAAUAAUAUAUUACAAAGAGGAUAUGUAUCUCCCUUUAUAAUAUUUUUUCAUCUGAAUUUUGUAUUAUAUAACUGGGGGAGUUCCCUUCAUGGCUCAGCAGAAACUCACCCGACUAGUAUCCAUGAGGAUUCCAGUUCCACCCCUGGCCCUGCUCAGUGGGUUAAGGAUCUGGCGUUGCAGUGAGCUGUGUUGUAGAUUGCAGACCUGACUCAGUUCCAGCCUUGCUGUGGCUUUGGGUAGGCAGGCAGCUGCAGCUCCAAUUGGACCCCUAGCCUGGGAACUUCCAUAUGC
Molecule: long non-coding RNA, 4612 nt
Filed under: Sus scrofa (pig)
Lineage: Eukaryota; Metazoa; Chordata; Mammalia; Artiodactyla; Suidae
Description: lncRNA (ENSSSCG00000058010.1)
Source: RNAcentral